This 253-nucleotide ribosomal RNA is filed under the name uncultured bacterium. RNAcentral's name for it is "partial 16S ribosomal RNA". It matches the Rfam family "Bacterial small subunit ribosomal RNA", at positions 524 to 776 of the family's 1533-position model. The record is from RNAcentral.
UACAGAGGGUGCAAGCGUUGUUCGGAAUUACUGGGCGUAAAGCGCGUGUAGGUGGCGAUGUAAGUCGGAUGUGAAAUCCCUCGGCUUAACCGAGGAAGUGCAUUCGAUACUGCGUUGCUUGAGUACUGGAGGGGUUGGCGGAAUUCCCGGUGUAGAGGUGAAAUUCGUAGAUAUCGGGAGGAACACCUGUGGCGAAGGCGGCCAACUGGACAGUCACUGACACUGAGACGCGAAAGCGUGGGUAGCAAACAGG